Molecule: ribosomal RNA, 684 nt
Filed under: Triticum aestivum (bread wheat)
Lineage: Eukaryota; Viridiplantae; Streptophyta; Magnoliopsida; Poales; Poaceae
Description: partial small subunit ribosomal RNA
Source: RNAcentral
AUGCAUGAUCAAUUAACGCACGAGAGGUUCGUUCUGCUGGUGGUCACCCUUUGGGCCACAUGGAGAGCACGACGUAAGGCGAUAUAUGAAGGGGUUUUUCAGAGUCCUGAAGGAACUAACCAGUUCAUCAAGUCAUACAUAGUGGACCUGCAAACUAUCGCUGCUGUGGGCAGUGGUCAGGAACAACAUCAAGCGGCGAGACCUAGCCACUGGAUUGCACCACCGGACACGUAUGCGAAGAUCAAUGUGGAUGCGGCGACCGCAACCAACCGAGGAGUUGCUGCUGCUAUCUGUCGAGAUCAAGCUGGCAUUUUUCAAGGUGCUUCGGCUCUGGUUAUCAAGGGAACCAAUGAUCCACCAACGCUCGAAGCAUUAGCAGUCAGAGAGGCUUUGGCGCUUGCCGAUGAUCUUAAUAGCCGCAGAAUACAUGUCGCUUCUGACUGCAAAGUUGUCCUGGACGACAUCAAGAACAAAACACCGGCUAUCUAUGGAGCUAUUCUGCAUGAAAUCAUAGAUCAUAGUUCCACUUUUAUUUCAUGUACCUUUGUGCAUGAGUUUAGGAGCUCGAAUUUCGAGGCUCACAAUCUUGCGAAGCAUAGUUUGAAUUUGGGGGUUGGCCGCCAUGUGUGGUUAGGCAAUCCUGGUAAUCUUUCUUUUGUACCUUUAAACAUUGGCACAAGUUAA